GGUAGAGAGAAGCUUGCUUCUCUUGAGAGCGGCGGACGGGUGAGUAAUGCCUAGGAAUCUGCCUGGUAGUGGGGGAUAACGCUCGGAAACGGACGCUAAUACCGCAUACGUCCUACGGGAGAAAGCAGGGGACCUUCGGGCCUUGCGCUAUCAGAUGAGCCUAGGUCGGAUUAGCUAGUUGGUGAGGUAAUGGCUCACCAAGGCGACGAUCCGUAACUGGUCUGAGAGGAUGAUCAGUCACACUGGAACUGAGACACGGUCCAGACUCCUACGGGAGGCAGCAGUGGGGAAUAUUGGACAAUGGGCGAAAGCCUGAUCCAGCCAUGCCGCGUGUGUGAAGAAGGUCUUCGGAUUGUAAAGCACUUUAAGUUGGGAGGAAGGGCAUUAACCUAAUACGUUGGUGUCUUGACGUUACCGACAGAAUAAGCACCGGCUAACUCUGUGCCAGCAGCCGCGGUAAUACAGAGGGUGCAAGCGUUAAUCGGAAUUACUGGGCGUAAAGCGCGCGUAGGUGGUUUGUUAAGUUGGAUGUGAAAUCCCCCGGGCUCAACCUGGGGAACUGCAUU
This 566-nucleotide ribosomal RNA is filed under the name Pseudomonas sp. RNAcentral describes it as "bacterial SSU rRNA". It matches the Rfam family "Bacterial small subunit ribosomal RNA", at positions 68 to 627 of the family's 1533-position model. The record is from RNAcentral. Lineage: Bacteria; Pseudomonadati; Pseudomonadota; Gammaproteobacteria; Pseudomonadales; Pseudomonadaceae.